Molecule: ribosomal RNA, 402 nt
Filed under: uncultured bacterium
Lineage: Bacteria
Description: bacterial SSU rRNA
Rfam family: Bacterial small subunit ribosomal RNA
Source: RNAcentral
UGGGGAAUAUUGGACAAUGGGCGCAAGCCUGAUCCAGCCAUGCCGCGUGAGUGAUGAAGGCCUUAGGGUUGUAAAGCUCUUUUGCCGGGGACGAUAAUGACGGUACCCGGAGAAUAAGUCCCGGCUAACUUCGUGCCAGCAGCCGCGGUAAUACGAAGGGGACUAGCGUUGUUCGGAAUCACUGGGCGUAAAGCGCACGUAGGCGGAUAUGUCAGUCAGGGGUGAAAUCCCGGGGCUCAACCUCGGAACUGCCUUUGAUACAGCAUGUCUUGAGUCCGAUAGAGGUGGGUGGAAUUCCUAGUGUAGAGGUGAAAUUCGUAGAUAUUAGGAAGAACACCGGUGGCGAAGGCGGCCCACUGGAUCGGUACUGACGCUGAGGUGCGAAAGCGUGGGGAGCAAACA